This 486-nucleotide ribosomal RNA is filed under the name uncultured bacterium. Its description in RNAcentral is "partial 16S ribosomal RNA". It matches the Rfam family "Bacterial small subunit ribosomal RNA", at positions 30 to 507 of the family's 1533-position model. The record is from RNAcentral.
AUUGAACGCUGGCGGCAUGCCUUACACAUGCAAGUCGAACGGCAGCACGGGUGCUUGCACCUGGUGGCGAGUGGCGAACGGGUGAGUAAUACAUCGGAACAUGUCCUGUAGUGGGGGAUAGCCCGGCGAAAGCCGGAUUAAUACCGCAUACGAUCUACGGAUGAAAGCGGGGGACCUUCGGGCCUCGCGCUAUAGGGUUGGCCGAUGGCUGAUUAGCUAGUUGGUGGGGUAAAGGCCUACCAAGGCGACGAUCAGCAGCUGGUCUGAGAGGACGACCAGCCACACUGGGACUGAGACACGGCCCAGACUCCUACGGGAGGCAGCAGUGGGGAAUUUUGGACAAUGGGCGAAAGCCUGAUCCAGCAAUGCCGCGUGUGUGAAGAAGGCCUUCGGGUUGUAAAGCACUUUUGUUCGGAAAGAAAUCCUUGGCCCUAAUACGGUCGGGGGAUGACGGUACCGGAAGAAUAAGCACCGGCUAACUACGUG